RNAcentral lists this ribosomal RNA (274 nucleotides) under uncultured bacterium. Its description in RNAcentral is "partial 16S ribosomal RNA". It matches the Rfam family "Bacterial small subunit ribosomal RNA", at positions 523 to 796 of the family's 1533-position model. The record is from RNAcentral.
AUACGAAGGGGGCAAGCGUUGUUCGGAUUUAUUGGGCGUAAAGAGCGCGUAGGCGGAUGAUUAAGCCAGAUGUGAAAUCUCGGGGCUCAACCCCGAAACUGCGUCUGGAACUGAUCAUCUAGAAUGGUGGAGAGGGAAGGAGAAUUUCGCAUGGAGGAGUAAAAUCCGUAGAGAUGCGAAGGAAUAUUAGAGGCGAAGGCGCCUUCCUGACCAACUAUUGACGCUGAGGCGCGAAAGCGUGGGGAGCAAACAGGAUUAGAUACCCUAGUAGUCC